This 497-nucleotide ribosomal RNA is filed under the name uncultured bacterium. RNAcentral's name for it is "partial 16S ribosomal RNA". It matches the Rfam family "Bacterial small subunit ribosomal RNA", at positions 28 to 507 of the family's 1533-position model. The record is from RNAcentral.
GAUGAACGCUGGCGGCGUGCCUAAUACAUGCAAGUCGAGCGAACAGACGAGGAGCUUGCUCCUCUGACGUUAGCGGCGGACGGGUGAGUCACACGUGGAUAACCUACCUAUAAGACUGGGAUAACUUCGGGAAACCGGAGCUAAUACCGGAUAAUAUAUUGAUCCGCAUGGUUCAAUAGUGAAAGUCGGUUUUUCUGUCUCUUCUAGAUGGAUCCGCGCCGCAUUAGCUAGUUGGUAAGGUAACGGCUUAUCAAGGCAACCAUGCGUAGCCGACCUGAGAGAGGGGUAGCCGACACGGGAGCGUAGCCGCGGUCCAGACUCCUACGGGAGGCAGCAGUAGGGAAUCUGCCGCAGUGGGCGGAAGCAUGACGGAGCAACGCCGCGUGAGUGAUGAAGGUCUUCGGAUCGUAAAACUGUGUUAUUAGGGAAAAACAAAUGUGUAAGUAACUAUGCACGUAUUGACGGUACCUAAUCAGAAAGCCACGGCUAACUACGUG